RNAcentral lists this ribosomal RNA (253 nucleotides) under uncultured bacterium. RNAcentral's name for it is "partial 16S ribosomal RNA". It matches the Rfam family "Bacterial small subunit ribosomal RNA", at positions 524 to 776 of the family's 1533-position model. The record is from RNAcentral.
UACGAAGGGGGCUAGCGUUGUUCGGAAUUACUGGGCGUAAAGCGCGCGCAGGCGGUUCUUCAAGUCAGAGGUGAAAGCCCAGAGCUCAACUCUGGAAUGGCCUUUGAGACUAGAGAACUAGGGUACGGGAGAGGUGAGUGGAAUUCCCGGUGUAGCGGUGAAAUGCGCAGAUAUCGGGAGGAACACCUAUGGCGAAGGCAGCUCGCUGGGACGUUACUGACGCUGAGACGCGAAAGCGUGGGGAGCAAACAGG